UACGUAGGGGGCGAGCGUUGUCCGGAGUUACUGGGCGUAAAGGGCGUGCAGGCGGUGCGGUAAGUUUAGCGUGACAGUCUCCGGCUUAACUGGAGAAGGCCGCUGAAAACUGCUGGACUUGAGGGCCAGAGAGGGACAUAGAAUUCCGGGUGGAGUGGUGAAAUGCGUAGAUAUCCGGAGGAAUACCAAAGGCGAAGGCAGUGUCCUGGCUGGCAACUGACGCUGAGGCGCGAAAGCUAGGGGAGUGAACAGG
This 253-nucleotide ribosomal RNA is filed under the name uncultured bacterium. RNAcentral's name for it is "partial 16S ribosomal RNA". It matches the Rfam family "Bacterial small subunit ribosomal RNA", at positions 524 to 776 of the family's 1533-position model. The record is from RNAcentral.